Zootermopsis nevadensis is the source of this 374-nucleotide non-coding RNA. The record is from RefSeq and is a predicted model, not a curated record. Lineage: Eukaryota; Metazoa; Arthropoda; Insecta; Blattodea; Termopsidae.
AGACGUGGUAGGUCACUGGUACUUCAAGGUUUAAUCAUCAGAAGCAUAAUCAUGUACGACGUCACAAAAAUAUAUAUAUACACACAAGAUUGGCGUCUGUUCGUGUCAAUGGGUAGUCUGCACAAAGAAUAUCACCAAUAAAGCGAAGCCAGGAUCCAGCAUUAUCUAUCUUAUGCAGUCUCUACGUACGACAGCUAAAAGGCCCACUGAGAAUGUGUUCUACACAACAUCACGUAUCCACAUACGAAUACAGUAAUCUACAUCACAGGAAGAAAGUAGUGGGUUUCGUAUUCGCCAUUUGAGCAAGCCGGUCUGAAGUAAUUUCAAAGACAAAGGCCAACCAGAACAACCGUCACAAACCUUCUAAUGUUAUC